Molecule: ribosomal RNA, 1845 nt
Filed under: Escherichia coli
Lineage: Bacteria; Pseudomonadati; Pseudomonadota; Gammaproteobacteria; Enterobacterales; Enterobacteriaceae
Description: partial 23S ribosomal RNA
Rfam family: Bacterial large subunit ribosomal RNA
Source: RNAcentral
GUUAAGCGACUAAGCGUACACGGUGGAUGCCCUGGCAGUCAGAGGCGAUGAAGGACGUGCUAAUCUGCGAUAAGCGUCGGUAAGGUGAUAUGAACCGUUAUAACCGGCGAUUUCCGAAUGGGGAAACCCAGUGUGUUUCGACACACUAUCAUUAACUGAAUCCAUAGGUUAAUGAGGCGAACCGGGGGAACUGAAACAUCUAAGUACCCCGAGGAAAAGAAAUCAACCGAGAUUCCCCCAGUAGCGGCGAGCGAACGGGGAGCAGCCCAGAGCCUGAAUCAGUGUGUGUGUUAGUGGAAGCGUCUGGAAAGGCGCGCGAUACAGGGUGACAGCCCCGUACACAAAAAUGCACAUGCUGUGAGCUCGAUGAGUAGGGCGGGACACGUGGUAUCCUGUCUGAAUAUGGGGGGACCAUCCUCCAAGGCUAAAUACUCCUGACUGACCGAUAGUGAACCAGUACCGUGAGGGAAAGGCGAAAAGAACCCCGGCGAGGGGAGUGAAAAAGAACCUGAAACCGUGUACGUACAAGCAGUGGGAGCACGCUUAGGCGUGUGACUGCGUACCUUUUGUAUAAUGGGUCAGCGACUUAUAUUCUGUAGCAAGGUUAACCGAAUAGGGGAGCCGAAGGGAAACCGAGUCUUAACUGGGCGUUAAGUUGCAGGGUAUAGACCCGAAACCCGGUGAUCUAGCCAUGGGCAGGUUGAAGGUUGGGUAACACUAACUGGAGGACCGAACCGACUAAUGUUGAAAAAUUAGCGGAUGACUUGUGGCUGGGGGUGAAAGGCCAAUCAAACCGGGAGAUAGCUGGUUCUCCCCGAAAGCUAUUUAGGUAGCGCCUCGUGAAUUCAUCUCCGGGGGUAGAGCACUGUUUCGGCAAGGGGGUCAUCCCGACUUACCAACCCGAUGCAAACUGCGAAUACCGGAGAAUGUUAUCACGGGAGACACACGGCGGGUGCUAACGUCCGUCGUGAAGAGGGAAACAACCCAGACCGCCAGCUAAGGUCCCAAAGUCAUGGUUAAGUGGGAAACGAUGUGGGAAGGCCCAGACAGCCAGGAUGUUGGCUUAGAAGCAGCCAUCAUUUAAAGAAAGCGUAAUAGCUCACUGGUCGAGUCGGCCUGCGCGGAAGAUGUAACGGGGCUAAACCAUGCACCGAAGCUGCGGCAGCGACACUAUGUGUUGUUGGGUAGGGGAGCGUUCUGUAAGCCUGUGAAGGUGUGCUGUGAGGCAUGCUGGAGGUAUCAGAAGUGCGAAUGCUGACAUAAGUAACGAUAAAGCGGGUGAAAAGCCCGCUCGCCGGAAGACCAAGGGUUCCUGUCCAACGUUAAUCGGGGCAGGGUGAGUCGACCCCUAAGGCGAGGCCGAAAGGCGUAGUCGAUGGGAAACAGGUUAAUAUUCCUGUACUUGGUGUUACUGCGAAGGGGGGACGGAGAAGGCUAUGUUGGCCGGGCGACGGUUGUCCCGGUUUAAGCGUGUAGGCUGGUUUUCCAGGCAAAUCCGGAAAAUCAAGGCUGAGGCGUGAUGACGAGGCACUACGGUGCUGAAGCAACAAAUGCCCUGCUUCCAGGAAAAGCCUCUAAGCAUCAGGUAACAUCAAAUCGUACCCCAAACCGACACAGGUGGUCAGGUAGAGAAUACCAAGGCGCUUGAGAGAACUCGGGUGAAGGAACUAGGCAAAAUGGUGCCGUAACUUCGGGAGAAGGCACGCUGAUAUGUAGGUGAAGCGACUUGCUCGUGGAGCUGAAAUCAGUCGAAGAUACCAGCUGGCUGCAACUGUUUAUUAAAAACACAGCACUGUGCAAACACGAAAGUGGACGUAUACGGUGUGACGCCUGCCCGGUGCCGGA